GGAGUUGUGGCUCAGGGAUAGAGCACUCACCUAGCAUGUGUGAGGCCCUGGGUUCCAUCCUCAGCACUACA
Molecule: transfer RNA, 71 nt
Filed under: Marmota monax (woodchuck)
Lineage: Eukaryota; Metazoa; Chordata; Mammalia; Rodentia; Sciuridae
Description: tRNA.Ala
Rfam family: tRNA (bases 6-66)
About the family: Transfer RNA (tRNA) molecules are approximately 80 nucleotides in length. Their secondary structure includes four short double-helical elements and three loops (D, anti-codon, and T loops).
Source: RNAcentral